This 375-nucleotide ribosomal RNA is filed under the name uncultured organism. Its description in RNAcentral is "partial 16S ribosomal RNA". It matches the Rfam family "Bacterial small subunit ribosomal RNA", at positions 527 to 896 of the family's 1533-position model. The record is from RNAcentral.
GAACCGUCCAAACGUUUAUUCGGAAUCAUUGGGCUUAAAGGGUGCGUAGGCGGUGCGGUCAGUUGGGUGUGAAAUCCCUCGGCUCAACCGAGGAACUGCGCCCAAUACUGCCGCGCUCGAGGGAGACAGAGGUAAGCGGAACUGAUGGUGGAGCGGUGAAAUGCGUUGAUAUCAUCAGGAACACCAGUGGCGAAGGCGGCUUACUGGGUCUCUUCUGACGCUGAGGCACGAAAGCUAGGGGAGCGAACGGGGGAUUAGAUACCCCGGUAGUCCUAGCGGUAAACGAUGAGCACUUGAUCGGAGGCUCCUCCAUAGGUUUCCGGUCGUAGCGAAAGUGUUAAGUGCUCCGCCGUGGGGAGUAUGGUCGCAAGGCUG